GCAGUAGAAAAAUGCAGCACAUUUUUAAAAAAGUAGUCCAUUGACUGGCUGUGAUGCCAGGUUUUCCUAAACUGUUUCCAUAUCUAUUGCUUUAUUGAAGUCCCAAACUUUUGGUUGUGGAGUUUGGGAAGUUUUCUGGAGAGCCAGCAAUUUACCUCCCCUCUUACUGACUGUAGAUCCCUAGGGCAGAAGGACAUGGCCAAUUUAUAACAUGAUCCAUGGUAAAUGAAAACAUUUUUUAAGAAGGAGUUUUCUUCUACAGUCAUUUCAGAAGCACUACUAUUUUAUCUAGAAGGUGAAGAAAUACUGAGAGCAAAGCCACUGUUGCAAUCUGUGGCAGGGUAGGUAGAUGAUAUGUUUCUUUUGUGCUUGAGGGGUUGGCCAACAAUGUUUGUGGUAAUUAUAACUUGUUUCUUGCUUACAGGAGAAGGUGAAAGGGCUUGAGGAGCACCUCUGCAUACUCCACACUGUGAGAAGGAUGUGUUGAGGAACUAAGACAAAAAAUAAGCCAGAUGAAAAAAACAAGGAGGGGAAGGGAAAUCUUUGUCAACAAGUAGAUGUGGUUAACCAUCUGGAGCCUAUAAGGACUGUGACAACUGUGACACAGCUGAAGAUGAGCAAGAGAAAAUUAAGCUGCGUGGAAGCUUUAUGAGGUUCUUCUCCUAGAGGGCAAUUCCAGACAUAUUCAAGUAGAGGCAUUAUCCAACCUCUAAGAGAUUCCAAGAGAUUCCUAAGCAUUCAAAAAAUGAUGGAACUGUUAUCCCAAUCAAAUAAAACACACAUAUCAUAACUAUUUGAUAGUGAACUCUCUGCUGGUUGGGAGGAGAUGGCCAUGCAUAAACCUGCUGUGGUCAUGGGUCUACGCACUAUAACUUCUCAGAGCAGGCCUCCAGAUAUGAUAGAGGACCUGCCAAGAUCACCAACCUCACCGAUCCAUGCUACUCUGUUCACGUGGGAACAAAAGUUGUUGUCACAGGAUCUACAUCUCUAGGACCAGAGAGACUGAAGAGAUGAUGUUGGCCCUUUCCACUGAUGAUCUGUCUGUUGCUGACGCAAUGGCACUGGGUUGCCCACCUUCCCACCAUCGCAGAUGGCAACGUGAGCCUACACCUCUCUCCGGAUGCACGGUCCUAACAUCACA
Mirounga angustirostris (Northern elephant seal) is the source of this 1141-nucleotide long non-coding RNA. RefSeq lists it as uncharacterized. NCBI's taxonomy places the organism in Eukaryota, Metazoa, Chordata, Mammalia, Carnivora, Phocidae. The transcript is spliced from 3 exons. The record is from RefSeq and is a predicted model, not a curated record.